GCCGAGCCACCACACCUGGAGAACCCACCGUAAUAUGUUCAGUUUUUUGUGAUUUUCUGGCCAACCAAGGCCCCCGAACGUAUUUUUUUACAGGGAUACGUGUAAAAUCGACUAAAACCAGACAAAACUAGUAAAAACCAGCCAAGUUAUGGCAAACUCCCAUCGUGGGCGAUGGAGUUAACGCUGGAGCACGACGGCACCAACGUGUCGGAACUCCAAAAUUGGCUGGAAAGAGUUU
RNAcentral lists this long non-coding RNA (238 nucleotides) under Carica papaya (papaya). RNAcentral describes it as "long non-coding RNA (CPAP_LNC006268)". Lineage: Eukaryota; Viridiplantae; Streptophyta; Magnoliopsida; Brassicales; Caricaceae. The record is from RNAcentral.